This 1241-nucleotide ribosomal RNA is filed under the name activated sludge metagenome. Its description in RNAcentral is "bacterial LSU rRNA". It matches the Rfam family "Bacterial large subunit ribosomal RNA", at positions 1672 to 2903 of the family's 2925-position model. The record is from RNAcentral.
AUGAGUAUUCUAAGGCGCUUGAGAGAACUCAGGAGAAGGAACUCGGCAAAUUGAUACCGUAACUUCGGGAGAAGGUAUGCCCCAAGUAGGUGAACUCGUACAGAGGGAGCCCAAAGGGGUUGCAAAAAAUCGGUGGCUGCGACUGUUUAAUAAAAACACAGCACUCUGCAAACACGAAAGUGGACGUAUAGGGUGUGACGCCUGCCCGGUGCUGGAAGAUUAAAUGAUGGGGUGCAAGCUCUUGAUUGAAGUCCCAGUAAACGGCGGCCGUAACUAUAACGGUCCUAAGGUAGCGAAAUUCCUUGUCGGGUAAGUUCCGACCUGCACGAAUGGCGUAACGAUGGCCACACUGUCUCCUCCUGAGACUCAGCGAAGUUGAAAUGUUUGUGAUGAUGCAAUCUCCCCGCGGAAAGACGGAAAGACCCCAUGAACCUUUACUGUAGCUUUGUAUUGGACUUUGAACAGAUCUGUGUAGGAUAGGUGGGAGGCUUUGAAGUAGGGUCGCUAGAUCUUAUGGAGCCAACGUUGAAAUACCACCCUGGUGUGUUUGAGGUUCUAACCUAGGUCCAUUAUCUGGAUCGGGGACAGUGCAUGGUAGGCAGUUUGACUGGGGCGGUCUCCUCCCAAAGCGUAACGGAGGAGUUCGAAGGUACGCUAGUUACGGUCGGACAUCGUGACGAUAGUGCAAUGGCAUAAGCGUGCUUAACUGCGAGACUGACAAGUCGAGCAGAUGCGAAAGCAGGACAUAGUGAUCCGGUGGUUCUGUAUGGAAGGGCCAUCGCUCAACGGAUAAAAGGUACUCUGGGGAUAACAGGCUGAUACCGCCCAAGAGUUCAUAUCGACGGCGGUGUUUGGCACCUCGAUGUCGGCUCAUCUCAUCCUGGGGCUGUAGCCGGUCCCAAGGGUAUGGCUGUUCGCCAUUUAAAGAGGUACGUGAGCUGGGUUUAAAACGUCGUGAGACAGUUUGGUCCCUAUCUUCCGUGGGCGCUGCAGAUUUGAGGAAGCCUGCUCCUAGUACGAGAGGACCGGAGUGGACACACCUCUGGUGUAUCGGUUGUCACGCCAGUGGCAUCGCCGGGUAGCUAAGUGUGGAAGAGAUAACCGCUGAAAGCAUCUAAGCGGGAAACUCGUUUCAAGAUGAGAUCUGCCGGGGCCUUGAGCCCCCUAAAGAGUCGUUCAAGACCAGGACGUUGAUAGGCUGGGUGUGGAAGCGCAGUAAUGCGUUAAGCUAACCAGUACUA